Molecule: ribosomal RNA, 497 nt
Filed under: uncultured bacterium
Lineage: Bacteria
Description: partial 16S ribosomal RNA
Rfam family: Bacterial small subunit ribosomal RNA
Source: RNAcentral
GAUGAACGCUGGCGGCGUGCCUAAUACAUGCAAGUCGAGCGAACGGACGAGAAGCUUGCUUCUCUGAUGUUAGCGGCGGACGGGUGAGUAACACGUGGAUAACCUACCUAUAAGACUGGGAUAACUUCGGGAAACCGGAGCUAAUACCGGAUGAUAUUUUGAACCGCAUUGUUCAAAAGUGAAAGACGGUCUUGCUGUCACUUCUAGAUGGAUCCGCGCUGCAUUAGCUAGUUGGUAAGGUAACGGCUUACCAAGGCAACGAGGCAUAUCCGACCUGAGAGGGUGAUAGGCCACACGGGAACUGAGCCACGGUCCAGACUACUGAGGGAGGCAGCAGUAGGGAAUCGGCCGCAAUGGGCGAAAGCCUGACGGAGCAACGCCGCGUGAGUGAUGAAGGUCUUCGGAUCGUAAAACUCUGUUAUGAGGGAAGAACAUAUGUGUAAGUAACUGUGCACAUCGUGACGGUACCUAAUCAGAAAGCCACGGCUAACUACGUG